Misgurnus anguillicaudatus (oriental weatherfish) is the source of this 1381-nucleotide non-coding RNA. The record is from RefSeq and is a predicted model, not a curated record. NCBI's taxonomy places the organism in Eukaryota, Metazoa, Chordata, Actinopteri, Cypriniformes, Cobitidae.
UUAACGAUUUCUGUAAAUUACACUGUAUUUUACUGUAAUAUGAACUGUAUUUUACCGUAGGGCAUGUUAUACAGUAUGUUGCUGUAUUUUGAUGUUGCAUUGUGGGAAAUGUAAUCUUUGUGCCAGUAAAAUACUGUAUUUUCUAUUUACUGUAAAAUUUACAGUUAAUUAAAAAUACUGUAUUUUAAUAGCAGGUGGUGCUAAUUUGUUUUUUGGGGAUUAACUCUCUGAUUAAGCUAUCUUAUACAAAUAAUGUAAUAUUAUUGUAUUUAUAUAUUGAUUUAAAAUGUAAAGUAAAAUUCAGAAGACUUAAACAAAGUCCUAAAAACAAUCAAACAACUAAAUUAGUGCAAGUAGAGCUGAUUUAUUUAUCAAAACACAAUAUAAUCAUCUUCAUUAAAGUAUUUUGUAUAUUCGAAUUAAUUUAUAAAUGUAAGUGUUUAAAAAUUAGAGAUAGGUUUUGCCGGUUGUUGAUGAGUGAUGAAUACCAGCUGUGAAUUUUCUCAACGCGUGUAAGCAGCCAUGACACAGGAAACCGAAAUAGUGUUCCAAUAUAAAGUGAGGGUCCUUGACAGUGGCCGAACCCGCAUACUACACGAUAUAAUGAUUCCCCACCUCGGGAGCUAUAGGGAACGAAUUGAGACACAGCCCUGGAUGUAAUCACGUCUGUGCUGAUCACGUGCCUGUACACAAACCCGCCGCAGCUCACUUGCAAAAGAUUAUCCUGUUAUUUAUUACACGUAUAGUAAACGUUUUUAAUGUUAUCAUGAAUCAAUGUUAUAGUUUUGUAUGUCACAUUAUUUUUUGAGAAGAGUCAUGACUCAACGCGGACCUUACACGCUGUUAAUUUGUGUGUGCAUAUGGCGGUACAGGCUCUUUUGCACUCUAUGACCAGCCAUCAUUAAAUCGAAAUACAGUAAAAAAAAUGAGCGCGAAACCCUGACACUUUACAGAAAGGCACGGAUAUCCCCGCCCGAAGAAAAAAAGAGCACAGGACAAUGGUUGCAAGGUAAACAGCUGAACAUUUCACCAUCUGCAAAGAACAUUUCACCAUCGACAUAUCAACAUAAACGGUCCUCUUUUUCGAGUUUGACUGCGUUUGGUACAGGUCACAACAACAACGGCAGAUGUAGAGACCACACUUUCCCUUGCUUCCACUCCACGGCUGAUCAUGCUUGGUCACAACAACAACGGCAGAUGUAGAGACCACGCUUUCCCUUGCUUCCAUUCCACGGCUGAUCAUGCUUGAGGAUCCAGAUCUACAAAACAAAAAAUGGAUGCUGCCGAUUGAAGGCUAAGUCCGCUUUCCUGCGAUUGACCUACCAUUUCUUCAGCAUUUGCUGUUCACUUUGGUUGCUACUACGUGCUCAACAUCAAGUAC